Molecule: ribosomal RNA, 253 nt
Filed under: uncultured bacterium
Lineage: Bacteria
Description: partial 16S ribosomal RNA
Rfam family: Bacterial small subunit ribosomal RNA
Source: RNAcentral
UACGAAGGGAGCUAGCGUUGUUCGGAAUCACUGGGCGUAAAGCGCACGUAGGCGGCUUUGUCAGUCAGGGGUGAAAUCCCGGGGCUCAACCUCGGAACUGCCUUUGAUACAGCAAGUCUUGAGUUCGAGAGAGGUGGGUGGAAUUCCUAGUGUAGAGGUGAAAUUCGUAGAUAUCGGGAGGAACACCAGUGGCGAAGGCGGCGACCUGGGCCAAUAUUGACGCUGAGGUGCGAAAGCGUGGGGAGCAAACAGG